AUGGUCACUUUAGCAGCACACAUAGAACUGAAACAUACAGAGAAAAUGAGCAUGGCCCUGUGCAAGGAUGACACACAAAUUUCUGAAGCAUUCCAUAUUUUU
Suricata suricatta (meerkat) is the source of this 102-nucleotide small nuclear RNA. Lineage: Eukaryota; Metazoa; Chordata; Mammalia; Carnivora; Herpestidae. The record is from Ensembl.